RNAcentral lists this transfer RNA (74 nucleotides) under Candidatus Planktophila versatilis. RNAcentral's name for it is "tRNA-Ala". It matches the Rfam family "tRNA". Rfam says of the family: Transfer RNA (tRNA) molecules are approximately 80 nucleotides in length. Their secondary structure includes four short double-helical elements and three loops (D, anti-codon, and T loops). The record is from RNAcentral. Lineage: Bacteria; Bacillati; Actinomycetota; Actinomycetes; Candidatus Nanopelagicales; Candidatus Nanopelagicaceae.
GGCCCUGUAGCUCAACGGAUGGAGCACCGCUCUGGCGUAGACGGAGGUUGCAGGUUCGAAUCCUGUCAGGGUCA